This is a long non-coding RNA of Xenia sp. Carnegie-2017, 210 nucleotides long. RefSeq lists it as uncharacterized. The record is from RefSeq and is a predicted model, not a curated record. The transcript is spliced from 4 exons. Lineage: Eukaryota; Metazoa; Cnidaria; Anthozoa; Malacalcyonacea; Xeniidae.
AGCAAAAGCUCCAGAGGCAAAGAAAAUAAAAAUGGAUAGGUCGUACCUUGGUUUGUCUUCGGCGAAGAGUGGAUCUGUUAACAAUGGCGUAAAGAAAGAGAAAGUCACAGAGAAGAAAGAACGAAAGGCAGAGAAGACGGAGAAUAAGUCAAGUUUGAUAAAUCCUGAUGCUAACAUGAGCGACAGCGUCUAUGAUGACGUUACACUGGU